RNAcentral lists this ribosomal RNA (1643 nucleotides) under Enterobacter cloacae. RNAcentral describes it as "bacterial LSU rRNA". It matches the Rfam family "Bacterial large subunit ribosomal RNA", at positions 1306 to 2925 of the family's 2925-position model. Lineage: Bacteria; Pseudomonadati; Pseudomonadota; Gammaproteobacteria; Enterobacterales; Enterobacteriaceae. RNAcentral also lists the same sequence under 1 other name. The record is from RNAcentral.
GUAACGAUAAAGCGGGUGAAAAGCCCGCUCGCCGGAAGACCAAGGGUUCCUGUCCAACGUUAAUCGGGGCAGGGUGAGUCGACCCCUAAGGCGAGGCCGAAAGGCGUAGUCGAUGGGAAACAGGUUAAUAUUCCUGUACUUGGUGUUACUGCGAAGGGGGGACGGAGAAGGCUAUGUCAGCCGGGCGACGGUUGUCCCGGUUUAAGCAUGUAGGCGGAGGUUCCAGGUAAAUCCGGUACCUUAUUAACGCUGAGGUGUGAUGACGAGGCACUACGGUGCUGAAGUGAUAAAUGCCCUGCUUCCAGGAAAAGCCUCUAAGCAUCAGGUAACACGAAAUCGUACCCCAAACCGACACAGGUGGUCAGGUAGAGAAUACCAAGGCGCUUGAGAGAACUCGGGUGAAGGAACUAGGCAAAAUGGUGCCGUAACUUCGGGAGAAGGCACGCUGAUGUGUAGGUGAAGUCCCUGCGGACGAAGCUGAAAUCAGUCGAAGAUACCAGCUGGCUGCAACUGUUUAUUAAAAACACAGCACUGUGCAAACACGAAAGUGGACGUAUACGGUGUGACGCCUGCCCGGUGCCGGAAGGUUAAUUGAUGGGGUUAGCGGCAACGCGAAGCUCUUGAUCGAAGCCCCGGUAAACGGCGGCCGUAACUAUAACGGUCCUAAGGUAGCGAAAUUCCUUGUCGGGUAAGUUCCGACCUGCACGAAUGGCGUAAUGAUGGCCAGGCUGUCUCCACCCGAGACUCAGUGAAAUUGAACUCGCUGUGAAGAUGCAGUGUACCCGCGGCAAGACGGAAAGACCCCGUGAACCUUUACUAUAGCUUGACACUGAACACUGGUCCUUGAUGUGUAGGAUAGGUGGGAGGCUUUGAAGCGUGGACGCCAGUCUGCGUGGAGCCAACCUUGAAAUACCACCCUUUAAUGGCUGGUGUUCUAACGUAGACCCGUAAUCCGGGUUGCGGACAGUGUCUGGUGGGUAGUUUGACUGGGGCGGUCUCCUCCCAAAGAGUAACGGAGGAGCACGAAGGUUGGCUAAUCCUGGUCGGACAUCAGGAGGUUAGUGCAAUGGCAUAAGCCAGCUUGACUGCGAGCGUGACGGCGCGAGCAGGUGCGAAAGCAGGUCAUAGUGAUCCGGUGGUUCUGAAUGGAAGGGCCAUCGCUCAACGGAUAAAAGGUACUCCGGGGAUAACAGGCUGAUACCGCCCAAGAGUUCAUAUCGACGGCGGUGUUUGGCACCUCGAUGUCGGCUCAUCACAUCCUGGGGCUGAAGUAGGUCCCAAGGGUAUGGCUGUUCGCCAUUUAAAGUGGUACGCGAGCUGGGUUUAGAACGUCGUGAGACAGUUCGGUCCCUAUCUGCCGUGGGCGCUGGAGAAUUGAGGGGGGCUGCUCCUAGUACGAGAGGACCGGAGUGGACGCAUCACUGGUGUUCGGGUUGUCAUGCCAAUGGCACUGCCCGGUAGCUAAAUGCGGAAGAGAUAAGUGCUGAAAGCAUCUAAGCACGAAACUUGCCCCGAGAUGAGUUCUCCCUGAGACCUUGAGUCUCCUGAAGGAACGUUGAAGACGACGACGUUGAUAGGUCGGGUGUGUAAGCGCAGCGAUGCGUUGAGCUAACCGAUACUAAUGAACCGUGAGGCUUAACCUU